AUAAAAGAUAUGUGACGCAGUAUUCUAGUCGACAGGCCAUGUUUUGAAGGCGGGGCUAAAAAUCCGUUAAGGGCACAUCGAUGAAGUUUCUGGUGCUGGCUUCUGACGCCCAGUCGGGGGCUGGUGCUGGGAGUUAAGGUUUUUGGGCGCUCUGUAAUGGCAUACGGAAGCCGACCCAAUUUCCGUGGAGACCCAAGUGCGUGGGGAGAUGCCUUUGGUCGGGCAUGAUAACUAUGGCUUGGGAUUAAACCUGCAUUCGGUUAAAUGCUGGGUGCAGUGUAGCCUGCCUUGAGUGCGAGUGGUGGAUUGGCUGUUUUAGCCAAAACAGAGGCUGCUUGGUUCGACCAGACCGGCAGUCCUACUGAUGAAACCACUGGUGCAAAAGAGGCUAAAAAUGUGGUACUGCCGUUGAGGAAAGCUCCUAGACUGUUAUGCUGUCAGGGAUUAAAGUAUGGACUAAGUGGUGAUUUGGCUCCGGCCGCGGCAACGCUCCGGGUUGACCCGUAAGUGGGAACCGCCACGGCGGCGACGCUGUGGCGCGGUCAACGAGAAACUCUGCCAGACCUAAGCCAUAAAGUUUACCUGCCGGCUGUUCACAUAUUUUUAUUA
Molecule: small RNA, 609 nt
Filed under: chicken gut metagenome
Source: RNAcentral